Long non-coding RNA from Carassius carassius (crucian carp), 862 nucleotides. RefSeq lists it as uncharacterized. The record is from RefSeq and is a predicted model, not a curated record. The transcript is spliced from 3 exons. Lineage: Eukaryota; Metazoa; Chordata; Actinopteri; Cypriniformes; Cyprinidae.
ACUCUGGAUGGUUAGAUGCAUGAUGGGCUAGUAUAAAAAAAAAAAUGCUUUCCAGCAUUAAGAUGGCAGCUCUGCUGGUUCUGCCCUGGGUCCCCACACCUCCGGCUCUGCCUCAGUCCCCAGGUCCCCCGCCAGCACACGGACCUGGCCCCCCAUCCCUCCCCCUACUCUUCCCUUAUUCUGGAGUCCCCUUAGUCGGUUGCCUGUGAACGUCUGGAAGCAGUUCCUUGCAGAGGGGGUUCGGUCAUGAGUCCGGGCCCUGCAUUUCUCCCUCUCUCCACCAGAGGUCGCUAUCUCCAGUCCUCCUGGACUCCAUUCCCCAAACUCCAUACACCUGUUCACUCAUUACACUAAUCCCCCGCACUUGAUACACCUGUUCACUCUUUCUCUCAUUACACUCACCCUCAGCUGUUCCCCAUUUUCACAGACUACAUAUUCUAUUCGCACUCACCACUCUGGCUGAAUUAAUUUUUUAAUGUUUUGGAUACAUGCACUGUGUUGCUAUACCUGAACCUGUUUUGUUUUUCCUUGUUGUUCUUUUUUUUAGUAAAGAGAAGUUUCACCUGCAUUUGGACACAGACCCUGUUUUUCCAUGGUGCUCUCUCACUAGAUCAUGACAUCAUGUAGCCAAAAAAUGUGACAUCCGGAGGGCAGAGCCUUUGAAAUGAGAAACAGCUGUAAGCUAGUUGUUUCCAGUUCUACUUAACUGUGCAGUUUAGAAAAAAGUAAUUGGUAAUAUGUCAGUCAGUGGACAGAGAACAAUCCGAGACACUGAGAAGGUGUAAAAAAAACAAAGGAAGUUUGUCUUCUACAAAGAGAGAGGAGAAUAGCCUGUGCUUGAGUGGUGGAAUCUGCUAACGCU